UCUUAGCUCAGGGGUAGAGCGCGUCACUAGUACCUCCUGCAGUCAAUGUAGCUAUGACGAGGCCACUAGUUCGAAUCUAGUAAUCUUGAG
This is a non-coding RNA of Pseudocercospora fijiensis CIRAD86, 90 nucleotides long. NCBI's taxonomy places the organism in Eukaryota, Fungi, Ascomycota, Dothideomycetes, Mycosphaerellales, Mycosphaerellaceae. The record is from the annotation of a RefSeq genome assembly.